ACUCCUACGGGAGGCAGCAGUAGGGAAUCUUCGGCAAUGGACGAAAGUCUGACCGAGCAACGCCGCGUGAGUGAAGAAGGUUUUCGGAUCGUAAAACUCUGUUGUUAGAGAAGAACAAGGAUGAGAGUAAAAUGUUCAUCCCUUGACGGUAUCUAACCAGAAAGCCACGGCUAACUACGUGCCAGCAGCCGCGGUAAU
RNAcentral lists this ribosomal RNA (198 nucleotides) under uncultured Bacilli bacterium. RNAcentral's name for it is "partial 16S ribosomal RNA". It matches the Rfam family "Bacterial small subunit ribosomal RNA", at positions 335 to 524 of the family's 1533-position model. Lineage: Bacteria; Bacillati; Bacillota; Bacilli. The record is from RNAcentral.